AGCGAACGCUGGCGGCAGGCCUAACACAUGCAAGUCGAACGAACUCUUCGGAGUUAGUGGCGGACGGGUGAGUAACACGUGGGAACGUGCCUUUUGGUUCGGAAUAACUCAGGGAAACUUGUGCUAAUACCGAAUGUGCCCUUCGGGGGAAAGAUUUAUCGCCAUUAGAGCGGCCCGCGUCUGAUUAGCUAGUCGGUGAGGUAACGGCUCACCAAGGCGACGAUCAGUAGCUGGUCUGAGAGGAUGACCAGCCACACUGGGACUGAGACACGGCCCAGACUCCUACGGGAGGCAGCAGUGGGGAAUCUUGCGCAAUGGGCGAAAGCCUGACGCAGCCAUGCCGCGUGAAUGAUGAAGGUCUUAGGAUUGUAAAAUUCUUUCACCGGGGACGAUAAUGACGGUACCCGGAGAAGAGGCCCCGGCUAACUUCGUG
This 433-nucleotide ribosomal RNA is filed under the name uncultured bacterium. RNAcentral's name for it is "partial 16S ribosomal RNA". It matches the Rfam family "Bacterial small subunit ribosomal RNA", at positions 29 to 507 of the family's 1533-position model. The record is from RNAcentral.